RNAcentral lists this ribosomal RNA (327 nucleotides) under uncultured eukaryote. RNAcentral describes it as "partial 18S ribosomal RNA". It matches the Rfam family "Eukaryotic small subunit ribosomal RNA", at positions 1470 to 1796 of the family's 1831-position model. The record is from RNAcentral.
CCCUUAGAUGUUCUGGGCCGCACGCGCGCUACACUGAUGCAUGCAACAAGUCUUUUCCUUGGCCGAGAGGCCUGGGCAAUCUUUGAAUAUGCAUCGUGAUGGGGAUAGACGAUUGCAAUUAUUCGUCUUCAACGAGGAAUUCCUAGUAAACGCAAGUCAUCAGCUUGCAUUGAUUACAUCCCUGCCCUUUGUACACACCGCCCGUCGCACCUACCGAUUGAAUGGUCCGGUGAAGGCUUCGGAGGCGGCUUUCUCAAUGUUUAUUCGGCGAGACUGCUGCCAAAGUUGAAUGAACCUUACCAUUUAGAGGAAGGUGAAGUCGUAACA